CCUGGUUGAUCCUGCCAGUAGUCAUAUGCUUGUCUCAAAGAUUAAGCCAUGCAUGUCUAAGUGCAUGCCAAAUUAAGGUGAACCCGCGAAUGGCUCAUUAAAUCAGUUAUGGUUCCUUAGAUCGUACCCACAUUUACUUGGAUAACUGUGGUAAUUCUAGAGCUAAUACAUGCAAACCAGAGUUCCGACCAGAGAUGGAAGGAACGCUUUUAUUAGAUCAAAACCAAUCGGUGGCGGGCUUUGCUCGUCCACCGUUUACUUUGGUGACUCUGAAUAACUUUGUGCUGAUCGCACGGUCUCGUACCGGCGACGCAUCUUUCAAAUGUCUGCCUUAUCAACUGUCGAUGGUAGGUUCUGCGCCUACCAUGGUUGUAACGGGUAACGGGGAAUCAGGGUUCGAUUCCGGAGAGGGAGCCUGAGAAACGGCUACCACAUCCAAGGAAGGCAGCAGGCGCGCAAAUUACCCACUCCCGGCACGGGGAGGUAGUGACGAAAAAUAACGAUACGGGACUCAUCCGAGGCCCCGUAAUCGGAAUGAGUACACUUUAAAUCCUUUAACGAGGAUCAAUUGGAGGGCAAGUCUGGUGCCAGCAGCCGCGGUAAUUCCAGCUCCAAUAGCGUAUAUUAAAGUUGUUGCGGUUAAAAAGCUCGUAGUUGAAUCUGUGUCGCACGCUGUCGGUUCGCCGCUCGCGGUGUUUAACUGACAUGCUCGUGAGACGUCCUACCGGUGGGCUUAGCUCCUUCGGGGGCGGUCCAACUAAUAUCCCAUCGCGGUGCUCUUUAUUGAGUGUCGAGGUGGGCCGGUACGUUUACUUUGAACAAAUUAGAGUGCUUAAAGCAGGCUAUCAUUUGCCUGAAUAUUCUGUGCAUGGAAUAAUGGAAUAGGCCCUCGGUUCUAUUUUGUUGGUUUUAAGAAACCCGAGGUAAUGAUUAAUAGGGACAGAUGGGGGCAUUCGUAUUGCGACGUUAGAGGUGAAAUUC
Molecule: ribosomal RNA, 981 nt
Filed under: Leptopilina clavipes
Lineage: Eukaryota; Metazoa; Arthropoda; Insecta; Hymenoptera; Figitidae
Description: SSU rRNA
Rfam family: Eukaryotic small subunit ribosomal RNA
Source: RNAcentral